AAGGACGGGAAACCAUUGACCGUCUUAACUAAGAAGGUGAACGAUUCACCGUCUUAUGUAUGCCCCCCGCUGUCGAUCGGAUUUGCUGCCUAGAUAAGGCGGUAAACGAAUUACCGUCUUUCUUAAAGAGGUAAACGAGUCACCGUCUUCGGCGAAUUGCUGAGAAGGCGGUGAUACGCGGGGAAUUGCUGAGAAAGGAGUGGAGGUUCCACGCCUAGAGAAGACGGUGAACAACUUACCGGCUUCAAGAUUCAGUAAACACGGUGAACGAGUCACCGUCUUAUUUGGGCGGGGGCAACACUGACAAGGCGGCGAAUGCGGCGGAUGGUGUACGCCUAGAUAAGGCGGUGGACGAUUCACCGUCUUUGUCAAGACGGUAAACGAGUCACCGUCUUCUGUUGAAUUGCUGCGUAGGCGCUGAUACGCGGGGAAUUGCUGAGAAGACGAGGGGUCCACACAGAGAAGACGGUUAACGAUUUACCGAUUUACUGUCUUCAGGAGACGGUGAACGAGUCACCGUUUUUAUGAGAAAUGCUGAGGUGGCGGCUGAGAUGGCGAGAGGAGGGUUAGUUUCACAAAUAAAAUUUUCAGAGGGUUAUUUGGCCAAAUAUAAAAUUCUAUAGGGUCAGUUUCAAAAAAAGUCCUAUUUUGGUGUUGAUGU
Molecule: long non-coding RNA, 661 nt
Filed under: Ananas comosus (pineapple)
Lineage: Eukaryota; Viridiplantae; Streptophyta; Magnoliopsida; Poales; Bromeliaceae
Description: long non-coding RNA (ACOM_LNC036619)
Source: RNAcentral